RNAcentral lists this transfer RNA (91 nucleotides) under Photobacterium sp. TY1-4. RNAcentral describes it as "tRNA-Asn". It matches the Rfam family "tRNA". Rfam says of the family: Transfer RNA (tRNA) molecules are approximately 80 nucleotides in length. Lineage: Bacteria; Pseudomonadati; Pseudomonadota; Gammaproteobacteria; Vibrionales; Vibrionaceae. The record is from RNAcentral.
UCCCCCUUAGUUCAGUCGGUAGAACGGCGGACUGUUAAUCCGUAUGUCGCUGGCGGGAGGCCGCCCCGUCCAAGUCCAGCAGGGGGAGCCA